RNAcentral lists this long non-coding RNA (1955 nucleotides) under Eucalyptus grandis. Its description in RNAcentral is "long non-coding RNA (EGRA_LNC006433)". The record is from RNAcentral. Lineage: Eukaryota; Viridiplantae; Streptophyta; Magnoliopsida; Myrtales; Myrtaceae.
GAUGGGGGGUUUUUUCGCAGGCUCUUUGGCUCUUUGGCUCUCUCUGGCUCUCUCUCUCUCUUGGGGGCUCUCUCUCUGAAAUUUUUGGCCGAACAGACGGCUCUCUCUUUGGGGAUUCUCUCUUCCUCUCUCUGUAACUGCUCGAUGGAGCUCUUCGAGGGGGCAUUGAAGGAAAUCCUAAAUCUCAGGAUCUCUCUCCCUUCUCCUCCUCCGCACCAGAAACCCUAGGCCAGAAGUUCUCAAUCGGAGGCUCCCGGGUUUUUUCCCGAAGAUCUGACACUUUCUCGUUCGAUGAAGAUGGAGCAUCUGCCGGUCGAAGAGCUCAAGGUGUGAGACUCGGAUUCGCACAAAGAUCGGAGAUUUUCCAUAACGCCUUGGAGAUCUGCCGUCUCCGUCCGUUUUUCGCUGAGUACCCCACGCCGAUGUAGCUCCUCCGAGGCUACUACUUCGAGCCAGGCUAGAAGAGCCACCGCGGCACCUGUCAUCAACGCUGUGAAGGAGGAGGUGAUCGAGUCUCCCGUCGCCGAACUCGCCGCCGAUUCCAAAGCCCCGUCCUCGGCAUCUUCUAAGCUAGUCCUUGUCGCCAGAGACUCCGGUGGCGUUAAUACAUCGCUUCUUUUCUCCAAUGAUCUCAGUCCUCUCUUGAAGUUUCAUUAAUGGAAAAGCUUGUCUAGGUUUGAUAGUUGAACCGGAUGAGUUCUAGAUUCUUAAAUGGUGAUGCUCUAAUAAGGUGAUUUUGUUUGUGGAUCUUUCUUUAGCUGCUUUUGUUUAUCGUGAUCAUGAUAUAUCCAACCAAGUAUGUGCGCUAUGUUUUUCUUUGACCUUCGGUGAUGAUAUGGUGACGAACUAUUGACGUAUUCCUGCAUCUAGAUCAUUAGAUGAAAAUGUCCGCCAUAUGUUCGAUGAUUUUUCUAAAUGAAACUAGGGUACAAAUUUCAGUAAAGUUCCAGCAUGUUAGCAUCUGGUUGAUGAUUUAAUGUUCAAACUAAGAUGUAUUCGUUCAAUCUCCUCAUUGUGCUUUUGAAUUGAUCUAUUGUUUUGCUCUGUCAAGUCUCUGUUUGUGCGCUACUUGUUUGGUCCCUAUUCAUUUUUUAUUCUCAGCUUUAGUCGAUUUCAUUGACCUCAUUCUACAGCAAUUAUUUGUUAAUUGAUCUUAAGUGGUGAUCAAGAAUCGCAUGUACGAAAACUGAAAUUGAUUGCAACAUUUUUCUCUGAGUUUGAGUAAAUCGAGUUGAUCUGGAUGCUCAGCAUGUUCUGAUUUUGUCCACCGAGAGUGAAUAUGAAUUACAUGUUCUGUUAUGUGAGGAAUAGCGCAAAUGAUGUAUGUGUACACAUUGAUAAGCACCUUAAUUUGAUGAUCAAUGAUCACGAACUUGAGGUUAAUUGAGUUUGAUUUCUAUUAAUCUGCAAAUUUUGUGUGUUUGUGAUAGACUUUCUGUUUUGGCUUAAACAAGGUGUUAGAUAAGGUUUUUUGACUUCGAGCCCUUCUAGACAUAUAAAAUAAACUUUUAGAGCUUCGAUUUGAUAUGAUGUAUUGUUUUUUUGGUUGCUUGAUGUGUUUGAUUGUUUCUUUCAUUUGUACGCACCUAGUUAUAGUUUUUUUUAGGCUAGGAUUAUAUUAGAAUUCCGAAGGUGGAGAAGGCGUGAAGAUGGUGUAGGUCGAUGUCCAUUCCGACCGUUAUUAUGUAAUAUUCAUUUCUCUCCCGACAUAUGUCUCGGGUUCCAUGCAAUGUAUAAAACCCGAUGAGUUGCGGGUUUUCUUUCUUUCCCAAUUGUUUUCUCUUUUACAUUUUUAGAAUUGCAUGAUUAGGUUUAACUGCUUUCCCUUGAUUGUUUACUUCAUGUCUUGCGAUUUAAUUUUCAUCGAUUGUUUUCCUUUCAUUUCUUAGGAAUAUAAUAGAAUAGAAUAGAAUGAAAGUAAUCCACCACGCAUGAUCAUUUAGUAUAGAAUUGAC